UCACCGCCGCCCUGGGGGGCCCCCGCUGGCCUGGGGGUCCCCGCAGCCGGCCCCGAGGCCCACGCCCGGACGGUGAGUGCCCGCCCCGCCCCCGGGGUGAUAGGAGUCGGGUAGAGAGAGGACCUGAGACUCGCAGGAACUGGAGAAGUGGGAGAGGACGGGGUGGGGGGGAAGUGGCGAGCCCGGCCGGGCCACUGGGAGGGUGUGGCCAAUGUGGUCUUUGUGUUGAAAGAAGCAGGAAGACGGAGGCUGGGGGUGGAGGGGGAGGUCAAGUGGGAAGUCCCUCCUGGAAUCUGACUGCAGUCCCCGAAUUGCAGCCCACUGUCUCUUCCGGGCCUGGGGCAACAGCUGCAUCCGAGCUGCCCUCCCCCAGUCUGGGUCCCCUAGACCCCCUGGAGGAUUCUUGUUGCAGGGAGUGUGGGCCGAGCGGGAGGACUGUCAACUCUGGGCUCUGGGGAGGGGUCGAGGGGCCUUUUGCCUUUAUUUGCAUCUCUUUGGCCAGGAUUGGCCCUCUCCGCAGUCCCGGCGGAGGAAGGAGAGGGGGAGGGGCCAUUGUGUUGGGAAAGUCCCCUCGGGGAGGGGGGGAGUCUUGGGGAGGGAAGGGUUAAAGGUCCCCUGCCUGAUGGGCUGUUAACCCUGUGGUGCCCGGGGAGCCCCCCAUCCCUGCCGGCAGGCGCUGUAGCCCAGGAAAGUCCUCAGCCCUCGCUCUCGCUGGCGGAGCAGCACCUGGAGUCGCCGGUGCCCAGCGCCCCGGGGGCCCUGGCGGGCGGUCCCACCCAGGCGGCCCCGGGAGUCCGCGGGGAGGAGGAACAGUGGGCCCGGGAGAUCGGGGCCCAGCUGCGGCGGAUGGCGGACGACCUCAACGCGCAGUACGAGCGGCGGGUGAGUGCUGGGGGUGGGGUGGACGGCAGGUGGGACUUCCCGCCGGAGGAGGGGGCGGCAGGCGGCCCCCGCCAGAUGUGCGGCAGCUGCUGCCCUGCGCGGCUGGGUCGCUCCGCGGACAGGCAGGUGGGGGGUGAGUGGGUGGGGGGGAUCGCGCGCCCGCAGAGGCGCCCAGGGACUCCGCGCCGCGGCUGGCAUAGUCGGAGCCCGAGCCAGGGCCAGGGCCAGGGCCGGGAACUAGGCCGCCGCGGAGACUAGCUGCGCGCCCGUGGCCCGCGGCCGCGGGGACUGAGGGCGUCGCUGGGCGGCGCGGCUCA
RNAcentral lists this long non-coding RNA (1199 nucleotides) under Rhinopithecus bieti (black snub-nosed monkey). Its description in RNAcentral is "lncRNA (ENSRBIG00000045370.1)". Lineage: Eukaryota; Metazoa; Chordata; Mammalia; Primates; Cercopithecidae. The record is from RNAcentral.